RNAcentral lists this ribosomal RNA (428 nucleotides) under uncultured bacterium. RNAcentral's name for it is "bacterial SSU rRNA". It matches the Rfam family "Bacterial small subunit ribosomal RNA", at positions 355 to 798 of the family's 1533-position model. The record is from RNAcentral.
UGGGGAAUCUUGGACAAUGGGGGCAACCCUGAUCCAGCCAUGCCGCGUGAGUGAUGAAGGCCUUAGGGUCGUAAAGCUCUUUCGCCUGUGAAGAUAAUGACGGUAGCAGGUAAAGAAACCCCGGCUAACUCCGUGCCAGCAGCCGCGGUAAUACGGAGGGGGUUAGCGUUGUUCGGAAUUACUGGGCGUAAAGCGCACGUAGGCGGACCAGAAAGUUGGGGGUGAAAUCCCGGGGGCUCAACCCCGGAACUGCCUCCAAAACUAUUGGUCUAGAGUUCGAGAGAGGUGAGUGGAAUUCCAAGUGUAGAGGUGAAAUUCGUAGAUAUUUGGAGGAACACCAGUGGCGAAGGCGGCUCACUGGCUCGAUACUGACGCUGAGGUGCGAAAAGUGUGGGGAGCAAACAGGAUUAGAUACCCUGGUAGUCCAC